GGGCCUAUAGCUCAGCCUGAUUAGAGCGCAUCCCUGAUAAGGAUGAGGUCGCUAGUUCAAAUCUAGCUAGGCCCA
This 75-nucleotide transfer RNA is filed under the name Candidatus Actinomarina sp. RNAcentral's name for it is "tRNA-Ile". It matches the Rfam family "tRNA". Rfam says of the family: Transfer RNA (tRNA) molecules are approximately 80 nucleotides in length. Their secondary structure includes four short double-helical elements and three loops (D, anti-codon, and T loops). Lineage: Bacteria; Bacillati; Actinomycetota; Actinomycetes; Candidatus Actinomarinales; Candidatus Actinomarinaceae. The record is from RNAcentral.